Molecule: long non-coding RNA, 2082 nt
Organism: Homo sapiens (human)
Lineage: Eukaryota; Metazoa; Chordata; Mammalia; Primates; Hominidae
Source: Ensembl
AGAGUGCUUGCCUGGGGAGUCGGAGGAGCUCCGGUUAUGUCCAAGCCGAACCCCUGGAGCCUCUGGACUGCCUGGCACUGAGGGAGCGGGAACUGGACGGUGGGCAUGUGGCCGGGAGGAGCCUUCCAACCAGAAGAAACUAAGUUUUCAAGUUUCCUGCUGUGUCAUCUCAACUGGAAAGUGUCGUCCCCCAGGAAGUCUCCUGCCCUCCCUCUCUGCACAGGGAGCCGCUUCCCACUCUGUCCUUCGAUGGACACGCUGAUGCAGCUGGGAAUGAGCUUGGAAACGCUAACUGACCAGAGUGAUUUCUGGGCCCUGAGUGCAUUACAGAUGGAGAAAGCUUCUGAAUUCUCUAUGGAACUCCAGGCCUGACCUUGGGAUGGGAGACGGGCGGCUGGGCGCACAAGGAAAGAGGCCUCGCCUUGCGCCACGGAGGAGGUGCUACCCCGAGCACUGUCUGGGGAGGAUUUCAAGGCUGUGCCCAGGCCACCCCUGAUGGAUGCAUCAGUCACUUCAGCCAUGGUGCCGGCAGGGAGCCCAAGCGCGGGAGCAUCCUCUGUCGUCCUCGCAGCCGGGACCCUCUCAUUUCCUGUCUGCACAGCAGCCCCGGCGUGUUCCUCUGUGAAAGCCAGGAGCACGGGGGUGACGCCUUCUGGGCCUGCCACUGUUCCUUCAGAAGCGACCUUUGACCUCCCCAUCAGCCUGUGCUGCUAGGUCUGGGGUCAUUUUCUGCUCAGAUAUCUCCUCUCCCUGACGAUCGAUUCCCCCUGGAGGGGUGAGCCACUGUCGGGAGGGGAGACGGAGCUGAGCAUGCAAGGAAGGGCAACCCCAGCCCAGAUCCUGGAGGGCUUUGGGCUUCCAGGUAGAAGCCGGUCUUCGCGUCAGCAAACCAAGAAAAUGCCUCCCUGAAAUGGUCUCCAGCUUCAAAAGUCACUGGAUUUUUCAAUGAGAAGGAGAAGUUAGGCAGCUACCAAAUAGCUGAAAGAAUAUUAAAUCUGAUGGAUCCAGCCAAAUAAAAAUGUUCAUUCAUAGGAUCUGUGGUUGUUGAGGAAUCUUCUAAGUUUCAUAAAUGGCAAAAACUCUUUCUCAGACUUACAGAUCAGACCUCACAUAUGCAUGAGAAGAGAAGCUAUUUUUGUCUCUGGGUUCCAGUUACACAGCCACAGCCUGGAAGCUUUGUUCUCAGAAUUCAUGCUGUCAUCAAAAGGACUCAAUACAAACACUGCAGCCAGCCUGCCAUGGCUUAGCUGUGACCGCAGCUGCAAACUCUUCUGUCAUGUGAAAACUUUUGGCUUUUUCCGGGUGUGGAAUGCCUGUUGGUCCCAGCUCCGCCUGCCUUUCCUCCUUCUGGAAUCGUGUCCAUCCUUUCAGUCAACUCAGUUUGUCCGCAUCUUCCAGGCCUCAUACCUCCGCCUGAUCUGCAUGGCAGUGGUGGGCUUGCUCUUUGUGCUAUUACACUGACUGUGAUCGUGUUUAGUGAGUCAGCUUCUACAAAGUUGACCUGCACCUGUGUGAUGUCUCUCCCUAGCUGGAUGCAGCUUCUCCAUGGGCUAAGUUCAUCAUGUUAACAGUGCCUGCCCCACAGGCCCUCAGGGGAUCUUAGUGGGUGGUCUAUGGAGAGACUUUAGUGGGUAUAUGAAUCCCCAAAAUUGUAGGCAAAGUUUGUGUAUGCUGUGGCCUAUCGACAGCGGGGACUCUGCCGCUGAUUUCUCCUAAGAAGCCUCCUGGGGGUUUGAGCGAAUCGUGGUGGUCUCCUUCCCUCUGGAGUGAUUAGUUUUGGCUUUGGCUCAACAUGGUGCAGACCCAUGGGAUCCAAAGGGAAGUUGGCCGGGCAUUUCUGGGAAGGAUGUCUCUUCUUCUGAUUUCUGAGUGAGGGUAGGAAGCCCUCUUCUUCAUCAGACGCCAUGGCUCUUACACGAAUGAUGCCUAGAGCAGACACAGCCCUUCCAGGACCAGAGGCCAAGGCUGACAAUGGGACAAGAGGGCGGAGGAAGAAGUGGGGAGCACCUAAGCCUUCCUCUGACCAAGCACUGUCCUAACCAAUUCUGAUUGGUUCACUUCUAGUUACAUGAUAUAAUAAAC